This 65-nucleotide transfer RNA is filed under the name Napialus hunanensis. Its description in RNAcentral is "tRNA-Asn". Lineage: Eukaryota; Metazoa; Arthropoda; Insecta; Lepidoptera; Hepialidae. The record is from RNAcentral.
UUAAUUGAAACCAAAAAGAGGUAUAUUAUUGUUAAUAAUAAAAUUGAAAUUAUUUUCCAAUUAAA